This 399-nucleotide ribosomal RNA is filed under the name uncultured soil bacterium. Its description in RNAcentral is "bacterial SSU rRNA". It matches the Rfam family "Bacterial small subunit ribosomal RNA", at positions 26 to 413 of the family's 1533-position model. The record is from RNAcentral.
AGGAUGAACGCUAGCGGCAGGCUUAAUACAUGCAAGUCGAACGGUAAAUAUGAUAGCAAUAUUGUAUGAGAGUGACGUACGGGUGCGUAACACGUAUGCAACCUACCCUUUACAGAUGGAUAGCUCGGGGAAACUCGAAUUAACCCGUCAUAAGUAUAAUUUAGUGGCAUCAUUGAAUUAUUAAAACUCCGGUGGUAAAGGAUGGGCAUGCGUCUGAUUAGUUAGUUGGCGGGUAAUGGCCCACCAAGACGAUGAUCAGUAGGGGAACUGAGAGGUUGACUCCCCCCGACACUGGCACUGAGAUACGGGCCAGACUCUACGGGAGCAGCAGGUAGGAAUAUUGGACAAGUGGAGUAGGAAGUCUACGGAACCACGCCAUCGCCGGCGUGACAAGGGAAG